This 431-nucleotide ribosomal RNA is filed under the name uncultured bacterium. RNAcentral's name for it is "partial 16S ribosomal RNA". It matches the Rfam family "Bacterial small subunit ribosomal RNA", at positions 29 to 505 of the family's 1533-position model. The record is from RNAcentral.
AACGAACGCUGGCGGCAUGCCUAACACAUGCAAGUCGAACGAGACCUUCGGGUCUAGUGGCGCACGGGUGCGUAACGCGUGGGAACCUGCCCUUAGGUUCGGAAUAACUCCCCGAAAGGGGUGCUAAUACCGGAUAAUGUCUUCGGACCAAAGAUUUAUCGCCUUUGGAUGGGCCCGCGUUGGAUUAGCUAGUUGGUAGGGUAAAAGCCUACCAAGGCGACGAUCCAUAGCUGGUCUGAGAGGAUGAUCAGCCACACUGGGACUGAGACACGGCCCAGACUCCUACGGGAGGCAGCAGUGGGGAAGAUUGGACAAUGGGCGAAAGCCUGAGCCAGCAAUGCCGCGUGAGUGAUGAAGGCCUAAGGGUUGUAAAGCUCUUUUACCCGGGAUGAUAAUGACAGUACCGGGAGAAUACGCUCCGGCUAACUCCG